UACGGGGGGGGCAAGCGUUGUUCGGAAUUACUGGGCGUAAAGGGCUCGUAGGCGGCCAACUAAGUCAGACGUGAAAUCCCUCGGCUUAACUGGGGAGUGUCGUGCGAUACGGUCGGACUGGAGGCCAGUAGGGGGAUGCGGAAUUCCGGGUGUAGUGGUGAAAUGCGUAGAUAUCUGGAGGAACACCGGUGGCGAAGGCGGCAUCCUGGACCGGUAUUGACGCUGAGACGCGAAAGCGUGGGGAGCGAACAGG
RNAcentral lists this ribosomal RNA (253 nucleotides) under uncultured bacterium. Its description in RNAcentral is "partial 16S ribosomal RNA". It matches the Rfam family "Bacterial small subunit ribosomal RNA", at positions 524 to 776 of the family's 1533-position model. The record is from RNAcentral.